RNAcentral lists this ribosomal RNA (406 nucleotides) under uncultured bacterium. RNAcentral describes it as "partial 16S ribosomal RNA". It matches the Rfam family "Bacterial small subunit ribosomal RNA", at positions 29 to 526 of the family's 1533-position model. The record is from RNAcentral.
AUUGAACGCUGGCGGCAGGCCUAACACAUGCAAGUCGAACGAGUGGCGGACGGGUGAGUAAUGUCUGGGAAACUGCCCGAUGGCGGGGGAUAACUACUGGAAACGGUAGCUAAUACCGCAUACCAUCGGAUGUGCCCAGAUGGGUUUAGCUAGUGGGUGGGGUAACGGCUCACCUAGGCGCCGAUCCCUAGCUGGUCUGAGAGGAUGACCACCAACCCUGGAACGGGGAACCGGACCAGACUCUAACGGGAGGAAGCAGAGGGGAAUAGUGCACAAGGGGGGAAAGCCGAAUGCAGCAAUGCCGCGGGUAUGAAGAAGGCCUUCGGGUUGUAAAGUACUUUCAGCGAGGAGGCGUUACUCGCAGAAGAAGCACCGGCUAACUCCGUGCCAGCAGCCGCGGUAAUAC